UACGAAGGGGGCUAGCGUUGCUCGGAAUUACUGGGCGUAAAGCGCGCGUAGGCGGGUCGUUAAGUCGGGGGUGAAAUCCUGGAGCUCAACUCCAGAACUGCCUUCGAUACUGGCGAUCUUGAGUCCGGGAGAGGUGAGUGGAACUCCGAGUGUAGAGGUGAAAUUCGUAGAUAUUCGCAAGAACACCAGUGGCGAAGGCGGCUCACUGGCCCGGUACUGACGCUGAGGUGCGAAAGCGUGGGGAGCAAACAGG
RNAcentral lists this ribosomal RNA (253 nucleotides) under uncultured bacterium. RNAcentral describes it as "partial 16S ribosomal RNA". It matches the Rfam family "Bacterial small subunit ribosomal RNA", at positions 524 to 776 of the family's 1533-position model. The record is from RNAcentral.